This 503-nucleotide ribosomal RNA is filed under the name fungal sp. Its description in RNAcentral is "eukaryotic LSU rRNA". The stretch from base 147 to 300 matches the Rfam family "5.8S ribosomal RNA". Lineage: Eukaryota; Fungi. The record is from RNAcentral.
GGUUACAGGUUAACUCCAACCCCUGUGACAUACCUAUACGUUGCCUCGGCGGAUCAGCCCGCGCCCCGUAAAACGGGACGGCCCGCCCGAGGACCCUAAACUCUGUUUUUAGUGGAACUUCUGAGUAAAACAAACAAAUAAAUCAAAACUUUCAACAACGGAUCUCUUGGUUCUGGCAUCGAUGAAGAACGCAGCAAAAUGCGAUAAGUAAUGUGAAUUGCAGAAUUCAGUGAAUCAUCGAAUCUUUGAACGCACAUUGCGCCCGCCAGUAUUCUGGCGGGCAUGCCUGUUCGAGCGUCAUUUCAACCCUCAAGCUCAGCUUGGUGUUGGGACUCGCGGUAACCCGCGUUCCCCAAAUCGAUUGGCGGUCACGUCGAGCUUCCAUAGCGUAGUAAUCAUACACCUCGUUACUGGUAAUCGUCGCGGCCACGCCGUUAAACCCCAACUUCUGAAUGUUGACCUCGGAUCAGGUAGGAAUACCCGCUGAACUUAAGCAUAUCAAA